GGCGGGGAUGGCGAAGGCGUCGCGGCGCGGUGCCGCCGCGGGUGAGCCGGACGACGGCGGUGCGGGGCUCGACGCCCCCCGCGCCC
This 86-nucleotide transfer RNA is filed under the name Nocardiopsis dassonvillei. RNAcentral's name for it is "tRNA-Gly(gcc)". The record is from RNAcentral. Lineage: Bacteria; Bacillati; Actinomycetota; Actinomycetes; Streptosporangiales; Nocardiopsidaceae.